CGGUACUGUACGAAUAAGGAUCGGCUAACUCCGUGCCAGCAGCCGCGGUAAUACGGAGGAUCCAAGCGUUAUCCGGAAUUAUUGGGUUUAAAGGGUCCGCAGGCGGUCUAUUAAGUCAGAGGUGAAAUCCUGCAGCUCAACUGUAAAAUUGCCUUUGAUACUGAUAGACUUGAGUUAUUGUGAAGUGGUUAGAAUGUGUGGUGUAGCGGUGAAAUGCAUAGAUAUCACACAGAACACCAAUUGCGAAGGCAGAUCACUAACAAUGUACUGACGCUCAUGGACGAAAGCGUGGGGAGCGAACAGGAUUAGAUACCCUGGUAGUCCACGCCGUAAACGAUG
This 339-nucleotide ribosomal RNA is filed under the name uncultured Flavobacteriia bacterium. Its description in RNAcentral is "bacterial SSU rRNA". It matches the Rfam family "Bacterial small subunit ribosomal RNA", at positions 473 to 811 of the family's 1533-position model. The record is from RNAcentral. Lineage: Bacteria; Pseudomonadati; Bacteroidota; Flavobacteriia.